GACGUAGGGCGCGAGCGUUGUCCGGAUUUAUUGGGCGUAAAGAGCGUGUAGGCGGCUUCACAGGUCCGCUGUGAAAACUCGAGGCUCAACCUCGAGCUGUCGGUGGAAAUCGUGUGGCUAGAGUCCGGAAGAGGAGAGUGGAAUUCCCGGUGUAGCGGUGAAAUGCGCAGAUAUCGGGAAGAACACCCGUGGCGAAGGCGGCUCUCUGGGACGGUACUGACGCUGAGACGCGAAAGCGUGGGGAGCGAACAGG
This 253-nucleotide ribosomal RNA is filed under the name uncultured bacterium. RNAcentral's name for it is "partial 16S ribosomal RNA". It matches the Rfam family "Bacterial small subunit ribosomal RNA", at positions 524 to 776 of the family's 1533-position model. The record is from RNAcentral.